AGCUCCAAUAGCGUAUAUUAAAGUUGUUGCGGUUAAAAGCUCGUAGUUGGAUUUCUGCCUGUGAGCGACGGUCUGCCCCUAGUGGUUUGAACACGUCACGCCACAGGCAUCUUCCUGGGGAAUGUGUCUGCACUUUACUGUGUGGUGCCCGAUCCAGGACUUUUACUUUGAGGAAAUUACAGUGUUUCAAGCAGGCUACCGCUCUCUGAAUACGUUAGCAUGGAAUAAUAGCAUCGGACCUCGUUCCAAAGCUGUUGGUUUCUUGGAUCGAGGUAAAGGUGAAUAGGGAUUGUUGGGGGCAUUCGUAUUUAACUGUCAGAGGUGAAAUUCUUGGAUUUGUUGAAGACGGACUACUGCGAAAGCAUCUGCCAAAGAUGUUCUCA
RNAcentral lists this ribosomal RNA (383 nucleotides) under uncultured eukaryote. RNAcentral's name for it is "SSU rRNA". It matches the Rfam family "Eukaryotic small subunit ribosomal RNA", at positions 587 to 972 of the family's 1831-position model. The record is from RNAcentral.